This is a long non-coding RNA of Thunnus maccoyii (southern bluefin tuna), 565 nucleotides long. RefSeq lists it as uncharacterized. NCBI's taxonomy places the organism in Eukaryota, Metazoa, Chordata, Actinopteri, Scombriformes, Scombridae. The transcript is spliced from 3 exons. The record is from RefSeq and is a predicted model, not a curated record.
UUGUCGUCGUCAAAGAAACGAAAACACGAAGAAGCUACAUGAAAUCGGGACAAGCAACGGCAUAAAACGAGGAUAAACCCAGAUGGAAAUCCCUGAUGAGAGAAAUGUUUGCAGACUGACGCCGAAGUUUCCUGUUUACUGCUGGACAGGCACUAUGGGUUGGCAUUAUUCACCAUGUCUGUGACAUUCACAACCCGCCAUAUCAGAAGUAUUGCAGACCAAGUCGGGAGAGGUCUAGAAGCAGUUUUCCAUGCAGCUGCUGCUCUACACACAGCUCCUGGAGCAGAUGAGGAACAGCAGUGCCAGUGAAUCAUGGGUGUCGUUCCUGCCAUGAGAGCAUCUUCAUCUAGAGCAGUAAAUCGAAUACCUUUGGUGUUGUUUUAGUCUGACCCUUGUCAGCUAUUAUAUGUGCAGCAAUUUGACUGCUGGAAGGUGAUCGGAUAAGUUUAAUCACGCUGCUUUUAGUGAUCAAACAGACUAAUGAUUUGAUAGAUUAUUCUGUCUUUAUCAGAAUCAACUCUGAAGAACACAGAAUAAGCUGUCAAAAUGUUUGUUUGAACAGUAA